UUUAAAUGAAAAAUUACACACACACAUACACACAAGCCUGGAAAGCUAACAAUAUACAAUUAAAUGUUAAGUGUUUCUUCUGGAUGGUGAAGGGAUGGAUGGCUGAUGGGCUAGCGAUAUGUGGCGUGGUACCCUCUCUUGAUGCUGGGCAGUGGCGGUGAGCACAGCUCCCAGUUAGCCAUGCGAUCAUCAGGAUAUGUGUGACUCAGGACACCAUGUUGUCAGAUCUUCACCAUCCUAAGCACAAUGUAACAACCCAUAAUGGCUAAGUAGUGUCCCGGUAACAUGGAGGAAUGAAAAAGUUGUGUAAAUGGCAUCAAGAUUGUCUUAAGAUUAUCAAGCUAAUAGAAGCAAUAAACAUCACCAGUUGUUUUAGGAUUUAUUCUUCAAGGGAGGGUUUGCACUUAAAGGGACAUUAUCUCUUCCAACUAAUACCAAUGAACAAGAGUAAUGAAACAAAGAGGCAUAAUUUCUACCACCAGAAAACUCUUACAUAUGUAGUUUUUAAAAUGUACACUAUGCAGUAAAAGAUACGAAAUCCAAUAUUAGACUAGGUAUGUAAAAUCAGAAAUAUUUUUCUCCAGAGACCCAGAGAACUUGAGGUAGUCAUUGUCCUCAAAGCCCUUUGCACAUCAAGAUAUGCAAGGUCCAACUGCUUCACUUGGAAUUCAAGUCUUCCAAAAUAUAGUCCCAGCUUUAUGUGCUACUAAAGAUCUGCAUUCAACCUUUCAAGGUCCUUAACACUGAUAUGAUUAUGAUGUCUCACCUCUAUCCUCCAUAAAUAUAAAACAGGAUCACAAGCAUAGGCAACAAAAACAACACUAGACAAAUGGGACUAUGUUGAACUAAAUAGCUUCUGCACAGCAUCUACACACAAUCAACAGUGUGAAGAGACAGCCUGGUGAAUUGGAGAAAAUAUUUGCAAACUAUUAAUGUGACAAAGGACUAAUAUCCAGAAUGUACAAGGAACUCAAACAACCCAACAGUUGAAAAAAAACCCAUAUAAUCCCAUUAAAAAGUGAGCAAAGGACAUGAAUAGACAUUUCUCAAAAGAAGACAUACAAAUGGCCAACAGGUACAUGAAAAAAUGCUCAACAUCACUAAUCAUCAGGGAAAUGCAAAUCGAAAUCCACAAUGAGACAUUUUCUUACCCCUGUUAGAAUGGCUACUAUUAAAAAGACAAAAAAAAAAUAGUAACAGAUGCUGGCAAGGAUCUGUUGGUGAGAAUCUAAAUUAGUACAGCCAUUAUGGAAAACAGUACGGAGAUUUCUCAAAAAACUAAAAAUAGAACUACCAUAUGACCCAGCAAUCCCACUAUGGGGUAUUUUUCUAAAGGAAAGGAGUUCAGUACAUCACAGCAUACCUGUGCUCUCAGUUUACGACAGCACUAUUCACAAUAGCAAAGAUAGGGGAUCAACCUAAGUGUCCAUCAAUGGACAAAUGGAUUAAAAAUGUGAUAUAAAUACACAAAUAGAAUACUAUUUGGCCAUAAAAAAGGAAUAAAAUCUUGUCAUUUGUAGCAACAUGAAUGGAACUGGAGGUCAUUAUGUUAAGUGAAAUAAGGCUGUCAGAGAAAGACAAACAUUGCAAGUUCUCACUCAUAUAUGGAAGCUAAAAAAAGUUGAUCUUAUGGAGGUAGAGAGGAGAAUGAUAGAUACCAGAUGCUGCGAAGGUGUGCUGGUGGGGAAGGGGAUUAAGAGAGUGCUUAGUUGGUGGGUACAUACAGUUAGAUAGGAGGAAUAAGUUCUAAUGUUCUAUACCACAGUGGGGUGCUAUAGUCAGUAACAACGUAUUGUCUAGUUCAAAAUAGCUAGAAGAGAGAACUUGACAUGUUCCCAACAUAUAAAAAUGAUAAAUACUUGAGGUGAUGUCUACCCUAAAUACCUUGACUUGAUCAUUCCACAUUCCAUGCAUGUAACAAAAUAUCACAUGUACUCCAUAAAUAUGUACAAAUAUGUGUAUCAAUUGAAAAAAGGAAAAAAAAUAACAUAAAUGUAAGGAAGUCCAACUGUGUUCUGAUUUUGCCCAUAAUGUUUUCUUGAUACGUUUUUAAAACAUCAAAUAAUAAAUUUAUAAACAAAAUAUUUUGUUAAAUGAGCACUGUCCACUAUAACCCUCCACUUGGUCCAGUCUGAUUUCUAUCCCAAGCUCAAGAUUUUGUGAGCUCUUGGGCUUUCUUCACGCCUAGAAUCUCCCUCUCUCUCUCUCUCUGUCUCUCUCUUUUUCUACUCUGGAAAUACAGCUCCUAACUUUUACUUAAGGCCUUGGUCAAUUUUCAGACCAGCAUCUACCACCAAGACCCUUCCCCAACAAGGAUGCCUCCAUUGAUUACUCCUACAGGGAAAGCUCUGUGAUCUCCUGGAGAAACUGGUAUCCACAUCUCUUAAUAACAUGCCACUGGCUGGGCGCGGUGGCUCAUGCCUGUAAUCCCAGCACUUUGGGAGGCCGAGGCAGGCAGAUCACCAGGUCAGGAGUUCGAGACCAGCCUGACCAAGAUGGUGAAACCCCGUCUCUAAUAAAAAAAUACAAAAAUUAGCUGGGCAUGGUGGUGGGCGCCUGUAAUCCCAGCUACUCAGGAGGCUGAGGCAGGAGAAUCACUUGAACCUGGGAGGUGGAGGUUGCAGUGAACCGAGAUCAUGCCAUUGCACUCCAGCCUGAGUGACAGUGUGAGAUUCCACCUCAUAAAAAAAAAUAAUAACAUA
RNAcentral lists this long non-coding RNA (2702 nucleotides) under Homo sapiens (human). Its description in RNAcentral is "HSALNT0357205". The record is from RNAcentral. Lineage: Eukaryota; Metazoa; Chordata; Mammalia; Primates; Hominidae.